Nematolebias whitei (Rio pearlfish) is the source of this 197-nucleotide long non-coding RNA. RefSeq lists it as uncharacterized. The record is from RefSeq and is a predicted model, not a curated record. Lineage: Eukaryota; Metazoa; Chordata; Actinopteri; Cyprinodontiformes; Rivulidae. The transcript is spliced from 3 exons.
ACUUCACUGACUUUGAAAACAAAUCUCAAGUGAUCGAAUGGAGAAAUCUGGUUUAUCUCACAGCCAAAAGGUACAUUGAUAAAUAUGGGCUGGGAAGCGUUUCUCUGUGGAACUUUGAAACGUGGAAUGAACCAAACAACCACGACUUUGAUAAUGUCACUGUUUCUAUUCAAGGAUUUCUAAACUACUAUGAUGCC